RNAcentral lists this ribosomal RNA (495 nucleotides) under uncultured bacterium. RNAcentral describes it as "partial 16S ribosomal RNA". It matches the Rfam family "Bacterial small subunit ribosomal RNA", at positions 28 to 507 of the family's 1533-position model. The record is from RNAcentral.
GACGAACGCUGGCGGCGUGCCUAAUACAUGCAAGUAGAACGCUGAAGGAGGAGCUUGCUUCUCCGGAUGAGUUGCGAACGGGUGAGUAACGCGUAGGUAACCUGCCUGGUAGCGGGGGAUAACUAUUGGAAACGAUAGCUAAUACCGCAUAACAGUAGAUGUUGCAUGACAUUUGCUUAAAAGGUGCAAUUGCAUCACUACCAGAUGGACCUGCGUUGUAUUAGCUAGUUGGUGAGGUAACGGCUCACCAAGGCGACGAUACAUAGCCGACCUGAGAGGGUGAUCGGCCACACUGGGACUGAGACACGGCCCAGACUCCUACGGGAGGCAGCAGUAGGGAAUCUUCGGCAAUGGACGGAAGUCUGAACGAGCAACGCCGCGUGAGUGAAGAAGGUUUUCGGAUCGUAAAGCUCUGUUGUAAGAGAAGAAAGAGUGUGAGAGUGGAAAGUUCACACUGUGACGGUAUCUUACCAGAAAGGGACGGCUAACUACGUG